UCCCAGACUCCUACGGGAGGCAGCAGUGGGGGAUAUUGCACAAUGGGGGGAACCCUGAUGCAGCGACGCCGCGUGGGUGAAGAAGCGCCUCGGCGCGUAAAGCCCUGUCAGCAGGGAAGAAAAUGACGGUACCUGAAGAAGAAGCCCCGGCUAACUACGUGCCAGCAGCCGCGGUAAUACGUAGGGGGCAAGCGUUAUCCGGAUUUACUGGGUGUAAAGGGGGCGCAGACGGCGAUGCUAGCCAGGAGUGAAAGCCCGGGGCCCAACCCCGGGACUGCUCUUGGAACUGCGUGGCUAGAGUGCAGGAGGGGCAGGCGGAAUUCCUGGUGUAGCGGUGAAAUGCGUAGAUAUUAGGAGGAACACCAGUGGCGAAGGCGUCUUACUGGACCGAAACUGACGUUGAGGCUCGAAAGCGUGGGGAGCAAACAGGAUUAGAUACCCCGGUA
Molecule: ribosomal RNA, 446 nt
Filed under: uncultured bacterium
Lineage: Bacteria
Description: partial 16S ribosomal RNA
Rfam family: Bacterial small subunit ribosomal RNA
Source: RNAcentral